Non-coding RNA from Chlorocebus sabaeus (green monkey), 259 nucleotides. It matches the Rfam family "Metazoan signal recognition particle RNA". Rfam says of the family: The signal recognition particle (SRP) is a universally conserved ribonucleoprotein. It is involved in the co-translational targeting of proteins to membranes. NCBI's taxonomy places the organism in Eukaryota, Metazoa, Chordata, Mammalia, Primates, Cercopithecidae. The record is from Rfam.
GCCAGGCAUGUUGGCGAGCACCUGUAGUCCCAGCUACUCAGGAGGCUGAGGCAGGAGAAUUGCGUGAACCCGGGAGGCAGAGGUUGCAGUGAGCUGAGAUCGUGCCACUGCACUCCAGCCUGGGCAACCGAGUGAGACUCUUUCUCANNNNNNNNNNUGAGAAAGAGUCUCACUCGGUUGCCCAGGCUGGAGUGCAGUGGCACGAUCUCAGCUCACUGCAACCUCUGCCUCCCGGGUUCACGCAAUUCUCCUGCCUCAG